AUGCCAGCAUUGCACACCCUGUGCCAGCGUUGCCCAUCCCGUAACGGCGUCAUGCACCCCAUGCCAGCAUUGCCCACCCCAUGCCGGCAUCGUGCAUCCCAUGCCAGCAUUGCCCACCCCAUACUGGCAUUGCCUGCCCCAUGCCAGCAUUGCACACCCUGUGCCAACAUUGCCCACCCCAUACCGGUGUUGUGCACCCCAUGCCAGCRUUGCCCACCCCAUGCYGGCAUCGUGCAUCCCAUGCCAGWAUUGCUCCCCCCAUACUGGCAUCGUGCACCCCAUACCGGCGUUGUGCAACCUGUGCUAGCAUUGCCCACCUCAUGCCAGCAUUGCACACCCUGUGCCAGCGUUGCCCACCCCAUGCCGGCAUCGUGCAUCCCAUGCCAGUAUUGCUCCCCCCAUACUGGCAUUGUGCACCCCGUGCCAGCAUUGCCCAUCCCAUACUGGCAUUGCCUGCUCCCUGCCUGCAUUGUGUGCCUCGUGCCCACAUUGUCCACCCCGUACCAGUGUUGCACACCCCGUGCCAGCAUUGCACACCCCGUGCCAGCAUUGCACACCCCAUGGGGACAUUGCCCACCACAUACCAGCAUUGCCCACCCUGUACCAGCGUUGCACACCCUGUACCAGCGUUGCCCGCCCUGUACCAGCAUUGCACACCUCAUGCCAGCAUUGCACACCCCAUGUGGACAUUGCACACCCUGUACCAGCAUUGCCCACCCUGUGCCGGCAUUGCACACCAGAGCAGGGGGGGGCUGGGGCCGGGGCUGGGGUUGAGGCUGCCGCUUGGGGCCGGCCCGUGGGGAUGAGGCAUGCUCCAGACAUGGGUUAAAAGCGACGGUGCCGAGGCUCCUGCUCUGCUCCGGAUUAAGCCGUUCCCACAUCCUCUUGCCACAAACCCUGCGCUGCAACUGCCAGGGCGCUGGGGCCGGCGCAGGGGAGUGGAGCCGGGGACUGGCAGGAGGCUGGGGAGCAGCGCCGAGGGGGGCCCGAGCUGGCCACAACCCCAGGAGCUGCAGCCCAGGCCACGGGGAGGGGCGGGAUGGGGGGUGCAGGCAGUGCCGUGCAUUGGCUCCGAGCAGGCUGCGGGGCUGCCGGAGGGCCCUGGCUGUGCCGUGUGCUCCAUCCCAUUCCUUGCAAGCUCGCUGGGUGCCUCAGUUUUUCCAAGCACCAAGUUUGCCAUUGCUCCCGAGUCCCCGUGUAGUUAAGGUCUGGCCAUCUGGAGCUGGAGCCCGGCCCCAGCCUCUUUCUUGCUGUUUCAAGGGGCGGCAAAGCUGGGUUUGUGGGAGCCGCGGUGGGAUCAAAAGGGCCAGCAAUGCCCUGCCAGGGCUGCGGUUUGGCACCGGGGCGGCUUUUUAUGUCAGCAAUGAAAAGAAUUGCUUCUGAAGCAUUCCUUCCACUGCAGCCCCGGGCGGUGGGGCCUGGCGCGCCGUUAACCCUGCCCGCGCUGCGUCCUGCCCCCGCUGCGUCCUGCUGCACUGCGUCCUGCUGCGCUGCACCCUGCCCAUGCUGUCUGCACUGCACCCUGCCUGCAUUGCACCCUGCCCCCACUGCGUCCUGCUGCACUGCGUCCUGCUGUGCUGCACCCUGCCUAUGUU
Molecule: long non-coding RNA, 1595 nt
Organism: Apteryx haastii (Great spotted kiwi)
Lineage: Eukaryota; Metazoa; Chordata; Aves; Apterygiformes; Apterygidae
Source: Ensembl